Molecule: transfer RNA, 70 nt
Filed under: Neophonus bruchi
Lineage: Eukaryota; Metazoa; Arthropoda; Insecta; Coleoptera; Staphylinidae
Description: tRNA-Met
Source: RNAcentral
AAAAAGAUAAGCUAAUUAAAGCUUUUAGGUUCAUACCCUAAAUAUAAAGAAAAAAAAUCUUUUCUUUUUA